UACGGGGGGGGCAAGCGUUGUUCGGAAUUACUGGGCGUAAAGGGCUUGUAGGUGGCUUGUUAAGUCAGACGUGAAAUCCCUCAGCUUAACUGGGGAACUGCGUCUGAUACUGAUGAGCUUGAGUGCAGGAGAGGAACGCGGAAUUCCAGGUGUAGCGGUGAAAUGCGUAGAUAUCUGGAGGAACACCGGUGGCGAAGGCGGCGUUCUGGACUGCAACUGACACUGAGAAACGAAAGCCAGGGGAGCAAACGGG
Molecule: ribosomal RNA, 253 nt
Filed under: uncultured bacterium
Lineage: Bacteria
Description: partial 16S ribosomal RNA
Rfam family: Bacterial small subunit ribosomal RNA
Source: RNAcentral